AAGUGGUCAUGGUGGUUAAAGUCUGUAUGUGUAGCGUCUCUCCUUGAAACACUACAAGUUCAGAUAUGUAAUCCAUUUUGUUUUGGGAGGCUAGUUUCACUCUGGGCAAGCAUGACUUUGCUAGCGUGUACCACAUACAGUGCGCUUGCGACAGAGGUAAUGAUUUUAUCCCUUGCAGGCAGCAUGAAAGGAGAAGUCUUUCUCUCCCUCUGUGUGCUUCUUCCUGCUUCUCUCCAUUCCUUAUGGUUUUUUUCUCUGAGAAGCAUUUGAUUGGACCACAUUAGGGCAGAGAUAACAUUGGAUAAGCUUUGCUUAGUGCUAUAACCCUGGUUACCCAAGUUUAUUGUUUUUUUCUCCCAUGUUUUAAAAGGUGAGGGGAGCUACUAACUAAUG
Non-coding RNA from Pelobates cultripes (western spadefoot toad), 393 nucleotides. NCBI's taxonomy places the organism in Eukaryota, Metazoa, Chordata, Amphibia, Anura, Pelobatidae. The record is from the annotation of a GenBank genome assembly.